This 530-nucleotide ribosomal RNA is filed under the name uncultured bacterium. RNAcentral describes it as "bacterial SSU rRNA". It matches the Rfam family "Bacterial small subunit ribosomal RNA", at positions 777 to 1304 of the family's 1533-position model. The record is from RNAcentral.
AAUAGAUACCCAGGGUAGUCCACGCCGUAAACGAUGAGUGCUAAGUGUUAGAGGGUUUCCGCCCUUUAGUGCUGCAGCUAACGCAUUAAGCACUCCGCCUGGGGAGUACGGUCGCAAGACUGAAACUCAAAGGAAUUGACGGGGGCCCGCACAAGCGGUGGAGCAUGUGGUUUAAUUCGAAGCAACGCGAAGAACCUUACCAGGUCUUGACAUCCUCUGACAACUCUAGAGAUAGAGCGUUCCCCUUCGGGGGACAGAGUGACAGGUGGUGCAUGGUUGUCGUCAGCUCGUGUCGUGAGAUGUUGGGUUAAGUCCCGCAACGAGCGCAACCCUUGAUCUUAGUUGCCAGCAUUUAGUUGGGCACUCUAAGGUGACUGCCGGUGACAAACCGGAGGAAGGUGGGGAUGACGUCAAAUCAUCAUGCCCCUUAUGACCUGGGCUACACACGUGCUACAAUGGAUGGUACAAAGGGCUGCAAGACCGCGAGGUCAAGCCAAUCCCAUAAAACCAUUCUCAGUUCGGAUUGUAGG